RNAcentral lists this small RNA (970 nucleotides) under Pan troglodytes (chimpanzee). RNAcentral's name for it is "retained intron". The record is from RNAcentral. Lineage: Eukaryota; Metazoa; Chordata; Mammalia; Primates; Hominidae.
CCAGGGCGGCGCGUGGUCUACGCCGAGUGACAGAGACGCUCAGGCUGUGUUCUCAGGAUGACCGAGUGGGAGACAGCAGCACCAGCGGUGGCAGAGACCCCAGACAUCAAGCUCUUUGGGAAGUGGAGCACCGAUGAUGUGCAGAUCAAUGACAUUUCCCUGCAGGAUUACAUUGCAGUGAAGGAGAAGUAUGCCAAGUACCUGCCUCACAGUGCAGGGCGGUAUGCCGCCAAACGCUUCCGCAAAGCUCAGUGUCCCAUUGUGGAGCGCCUCACUAACUCCAUGAUGAUGCACGGCCGCAACAACGGCAAGAAGCUCAUGACUGUGCGCAUCGUCAAGCAUGCCUUCGAGAUCAUACACCUGCUCACAGGCGAGAACCCUCUGCAGGUCCUGGUGAACGCCAUCAUCAACAGUGGUCCCCGGGAGGACUCCACACGCAUUGGGCGCGCCGGGACUGUGAGACGACAGGCUGUGGAUGUGUCCCCCCUGCGCCGUGUGAACCAGGUGAGCCUGGGGCUUAUGCACGUGGCAGGGUGGACACAGCCACGGGAGUGGGUGGGGUCUUGCCUGGGGCAGGAAGGCUCCUCUCUGUCUACAUGUUUUACCUGCAGCAUCACUUCCUCUAGGAAGCCUUCCUGGAUUCCCACCCUGCAUAGGGGCUGAUCCAGGCUCUGGGUCCUCUUCGGGAACACAUUUGGCAGAGGUCUUCUUUCUUUCCUUUGGGUGUAUAUUUUUACACUGUGUGUGUAUAUGUACUUUUUUUUUUUCUUGGACAUUUUGAGAAUCAGUUGCAGACAUUUCGAUUGUGUUUUCCCUGAACACAGCAGGUGUCUUUAAAAACAAAGAUGAUCUACCCCCGUCGUCACCCCCAGGAAGGAAUUUAUAUUCACAGCAAUAGUCGUUGUUCCAUUUAGCAUCUGUCCCCAGAAUGCCAGAAUGCCCUUUAUAGUGGCGCAUUGUCAAUUGGGUC